Long non-coding RNA from Mesocricetus auratus (golden hamster), 464 nucleotides. RefSeq lists it as uncharacterized. NCBI's taxonomy places the organism in Eukaryota, Metazoa, Chordata, Mammalia, Rodentia, Cricetidae. The record is from RefSeq and is a predicted model, not a curated record. The transcript has 4 exons.
CUAAGUUAGCAUGUGAGGUAGGGAGCAUAAGAGAGGAAAGGAAUCAGUUAUAGAAAUGGAGAAAGAGGACUUGUGGGAAACAAGAAGAGGACAGUGUUUGAGAAAAGAGGAAAACAGCCCAGGUGAGAAGAAAACAAUAAUAUGCUCUACCAACACACAGGUUAGAUCCUUAAGGAUUACGCAGGAAGAGGGGAACGAAUGCAUCCCUGAGACAAAACUUCAAAUGUGGAGAUGCAAGCUCUAGGUGACAUCAAAGAGAUUCUUUGCUUCAAAUCGCUGAUUAAGGUGAACCUUGCAUUUUCUUCCUUGUAUGGAUGGAUGACACUUGACAGCAGUCUCACCAUAUUAUCCUCUUAAAGUGACUGUUCCACCUCUCCGGAGAUGUAAGUUUAGCUAAUGCAUCACCUACCUGCAGGCUGGUCCAUCCCAAGUGAAACUCACACUGCUGCAGUGUGCCAAAUACA